CCUCUUUAAAUUUUUAUUUUGUCAUCAACAACCACAUAUACUGGACUGCAGCUACAUCAGCCACUGGGCCAGAGAGAGAAGCAAAGUGGACCUCGAUCCUAAACC
Molecule: long non-coding RNA, 105 nt
Organism: Salarias fasciatus (jewelled blenny)
Lineage: Eukaryota; Metazoa; Chordata; Actinopteri; Blenniiformes; Blenniidae
Exons: 3
Source: RefSeq, a predicted model, not a curated record